GCACCCUUCGUCUAGUGGUUAGGACACCGGGUUUUCAUCCCGGCAACAGGGGUUCGAUCCCCCUAGGGUGUACCA
Molecule: transfer RNA, 75 nt
Filed under: Sebaldella termitidis
Lineage: Bacteria; Fusobacteriati; Fusobacteriota; Fusobacteriia; Fusobacteriales; Leptotrichiaceae
Also listed under: 3 other names
Description: tRNA-Glu(ttc)
Rfam family: tRNA
About the family: Transfer RNA (tRNA) molecules are approximately 80 nucleotides in length. Their secondary structure includes four short double-helical elements and three loops (D, anti-codon, and T loops).
Source: RNAcentral